ACUCAAAUGAAUAGACGGGGGCCCGCACAAGCAGUGGAGUAUGUGGUUUAAUUCGAAGAUACGCGAAAAACCUUACCAGAACUUGACAUCCUGAGAACCUUUUGGAAGCAAAAGGGUGCUGUUUACAGAACUCAGUGACAGGUGGUGCAUGGUUGUCGUCAGCUCGUGUCGUGAGAUGUUGGGUUAAGUCCCGCAACGAGCGCAACCCCUAUCGUUAGUUGCCAGCAUUCAGUUGGGCACUCUAGCGAGACUGCCGUUGACAAAACGGAGGAAGGUGGGGAUGAUGUCAAAUCAUCAUGCCCCUUAUGUUCUGGGCUACACACGUACUACAAUGGGAAUCACAACGGGAAGCCAAGCCGCGAGGUGGAGCAAAUCCCUAAAAAGUUCCCUCAGUUCGGAUAGGAGUCUGAAACUCGGCUCCUUGAAGCUGGAAUUGCUAGUAAUCGCGAAUCAGCAUGUCGCGGUGAAUACGUUCCCGGGCCUUGUACACACCGCCCGU
Molecule: ribosomal RNA, 499 nt
Filed under: uncultured bacterium
Lineage: Bacteria
Description: bacterial SSU rRNA
Rfam family: Bacterial small subunit ribosomal RNA
Source: RNAcentral